This 432-nucleotide unclassified non-coding RNA is filed under the name soil metagenome. RNAcentral's name for it is "partial contains 5.8S ribosomal RNA, internal transcribed spacer 2, and large subunit ribosomal RNA". The stretch from base 1 to 120 matches the Rfam family "5.8S ribosomal RNA", at positions 35 to 154 of the family's 154-position model. The record is from RNAcentral.
GAUGAAGAACGUAGCGAAAUGCGAUACGUAAUGUGAAUUGCAGAAUUCAGUGAAUCAUCGAAUCUUUGAACGCAUAUUGCGCUCUCUGGUAUUCCGGAGAGCAUGCUUGUUUGAGUAUCAGUAAACACCUCAUCUUCCAUAUCUUUUUUGAAAUGGGAGUUGGACUUGAGUGAUCCCAACGCUUUUCCUCACCGAAAAGUGGCGGGUUACUUGAAAUGCAGGUGCAGCUGGACUUUUCUCUGAGCUAUAAGCAUAUCUAUUUAGUCUGCCUAAAAAACAGAUUAUUACCUUUGCUGCAGCUAACAUAAAGGAGAUUAGUUCUUGUGCUGACUGAUGCAGGAUUCACAAAGACAGCUUCGGCCGACUUUGUAAACUCGAUCUCAAAUCAAGUAAGACUACCCGCUGAACUUAAGCAUAUCAAUAAGCGGAGGA